UCUGAACUAACUGGAGGAUGCUCACCAUAUCUUGUCCACUGCGGAAUAAAUAAAGACUUGAUGGACAGGUGGAAAUAGCACGUAUCCCCCACCACUCUCUAUUCUUUCAUCCAAAUAGCUUUGCACCAUUCAAGCUACAAGUAGGAGUACCUAUUUUAAUAUUGGUAUCUGGGUGUGUUAGAUGUGACAUUGGCACAUUGUGGUCCUUCCCUUCCUCCUCACUUCUCUUUUGCAACCUUAUACAUAUUUAUAUUCAGGUCAAAGGACAAUUUAAGGGAGUUGUAAUGUUUACCUAUGUGCAGUUUCCUGGUCAUAAAAAAAAAGUUUGUAUGAAGGAACCUUGGCUGAAGUUUUAAUUACAAACUGAGUACUAACAUUCUGUGAAAAUUUUAGUUAGGCAGCUACUUAUUUUUCUGACAUUUUCCCUGCUAGCUCAAACCAUAAAUACUAGACAAAUUUGUUUUCAUUGUAAAAAAAAUAAAUCGUUCUGUCAAUAAAUGGU
Long non-coding RNA from Myotis lucifugus (little brown bat), 502 nucleotides. RefSeq lists it as uncharacterized. The record is from RefSeq and is a predicted model, not a curated record. Lineage: Eukaryota; Metazoa; Chordata; Mammalia; Chiroptera; Vespertilionidae. The transcript is spliced from 2 exons.